This 253-nucleotide ribosomal RNA is filed under the name uncultured bacterium. RNAcentral describes it as "partial 16S ribosomal RNA". It matches the Rfam family "Bacterial small subunit ribosomal RNA", at positions 524 to 776 of the family's 1533-position model. The record is from RNAcentral.
UACGGGGGGGGCAAGCGUUGUUCGGAAUUACUGGGCGUAAAGGGCUUGUAGGUGGCCAACUAAGUCCGACGUGAAAUCCCUAGGCUUAACCUAGGAACUGCGUCGGAUACUGGAUGGCUUGAAUCCGGGAGAGGGAUGCAGAAUUCCAGGUGUAGCGGUGAAAUGCGUAGAUAUCUGGAGGAAUACCGGUGGCGAAGGCGGCAUCCUGGACCGGCAUUGACGCUGAGGAGCGAAAGCCAGGGGAGCAAACGGG